GAGGUAGAAAAUUAUACUGGCAUAACUAAAGAAUAAGAAAUUGAGGGACUUUAAAUAUCUCUCCCACAACCUUUUUGUGUGUUUUUUUUUCAGGCUUUGAUAUUGGGGUACUCUAGUUUCUUGAGACAGAUAUGAAUUUCUUUAAUGGGAGACUACAGAUAAGAAGAUAAUAGAGAAUCCAGAAAAUCACCAAUCUGAGGCUUGGUUAAUUACAUGCAUCUCCAAUCUUAUUCAAGUAUGCUCUGCUCAAGCUGGGAUAAUGAGAGUUCUCAAGCUACAUUUCUGGAAGUGUUCUCAACCUAGAACUUCUGUGAAGACAACCAUGAGACAGACAUGAGGAAUCCCAGAACGUAAUAGAGGGACUUUCAAAUUUAUAAAUUUCACGAGUUUAUGGAGCUUAGAGGUAAAAUCAAGGAAAACAAUGCAUGUUCCUAUAGAGAGCGCCUCAUGGAAACAAGGGAUACUUCUUUAGUCACAUGGGAUUACAUUUUCACCUGGAAGAACCAUUUUUUUCCUCUCUGGAGGAAGCCACGAGCUUUUUUAUUCACAAAAAGAGAGAGGAGGCAGAAGUGACUUCAGAGUGCACAUGGAGAGGACAGAGACAAGGACCCAGGACGUACAACUGGACGACAGUCAGCUGACAAAGAUGUCCUUGGACUAUGAUCCUCUGGAUCAGUUGUGAAAAGCCUUUGAUAACACUCUCCAAAUCUCUACAUUUGUAAUGCACUGGAAUUCCUUUGUGAAAGGGGUUAUAUUUUGAAUAAAGUUUACCCAGAGGUCA
This 781-nucleotide long non-coding RNA is filed under the name Mus spicilegus (steppe mouse). Its description in RNAcentral is "lncRNA (ENSMSIG00000001262.1)". Lineage: Eukaryota; Metazoa; Chordata; Mammalia; Rodentia; Muridae. The record is from RNAcentral.